RNAcentral lists this unclassified non-coding RNA (299 nucleotides) under uncultured bacterium. Its description in RNAcentral is "partial contains 16S ribosomal RNA and 16S-23S ribosomal RNA intergenic spacer region". It matches the Rfam family "Bacterial small subunit ribosomal RNA", at positions 69 to 361 of the family's 1533-position model. The record is from RNAcentral.
GAAAGGGGUAGCAAUAUCCCGAGUAAACCGGCGCAAGGGUGAGUAACACGUAGGUAACCUGCCUUCAGGACGGGGACAACUCCGAGAAAUCGGGGCUAAUACCCGAUAAUGUCCCGCCACAGCAUUGUGGUGGGAUUAAAAGCUCGCAAGAGCGCCUGUAGAUGGGCCUGCGUCCCAUUAGGUAGUUGGUGAGGUAACGGCUCACCAAGCGGAAAAUGGGUAGCUGGUCUGAGAGGAUGAUCAGCCACACUGGAUUCUCAGACACGGUGAAGACUCCUACGGUAGGUCGUAGUGGGGGA